Molecule: long non-coding RNA, 1060 nt
Filed under: Suricata suricatta (meerkat)
Lineage: Eukaryota; Metazoa; Chordata; Mammalia; Carnivora; Herpestidae
Description: lncRNA (ENSSSUG00005018950.1)
Source: RNAcentral
GCCCAGAUCACCCCUGAGUCCCCGGCCCUCCAGAGGCCACGUCCAACCUCAAGCCCCGACCUCAGUGCGGCAUUCCCAGCAUGCCUUGCACUGGGCUGGCCCACGUCAGGACUAGCGGAGGCUUAGGAAUAAGUGAACCAUGAAACCAGACUUCCCGGAACCCGCUUCUUCGUUACUCACUCAUCCUCCGUCUCUGUUAGGCACUCGGAUGGAAGACGUUCCGAUGUGAUAUUUAAACACGAAGUUGAAUAUUGAUACAGAGGCCAGGAGGCACUGCACCCCUGGCCAGCGCGGCUGGGAAAGCUACUGCCCAGCUUGCCCGGCCUUGGCCAGCCGGGAAGGUUCAUUACAUUGUUGGGCACACACCUGCCCCAGACCCUGCUGGGCCCCUUGUGGGCCCCCCAGUAAAGGGCUGGUCCUCAGCGCCUUCCCCAGCUCCCAGACAGAAACAUCUGCCAACACAGCGCCAGAAAGGAAGCAAACAAACCACAGGCCUCCUAGGAUCUGAUUACUGUCCCCAGGGCAGGCUUCCCUGGGAGCCGCCCCUCCCUCCCCUUUCCGAGAACUGGAGAACUCGGUUGCCCAGCAAAUGUUCAGGCUCCUACUAUGAAAGGAGGGGGGUGGCGGGGAGGGCAGCCCAAGGCUAUGAGCUUGGGAUGGGGCCGAACACAGCCCAGGGUCUCUGGGGGAAAUCGGGCAGAGGCAGUGGAGCCAGGAGGGUGUGGGUGCUCUGCUCUGCUGAACUUGCACAGGGAGGUCAGGAAGAGCCCUCUCAAAAAAAAAUAAAGAAAGCCUCUCCAGCUUCCCCUCUUCCGGCUCGGAGCUCAGGCCUCAGGCCAGCCUGGGCUGGGUCCAAACCUCAGUAUUGCUGCCACCUUGCUAAGCCUCAGUUUCCCCCUGGGAGCACGUGGGGAGGGGGUGUCAUAUUUAAGUGUACCCCACGCCAGGAGCCCUGCGGGCCCUUGUGAUCCUCACACCGUGCAAGAACGGACACCAAGGUGGGUGGAGAAGGCCUGGUCCUCCAGGCUGGGUGGUGACGGUGGCACCUUCCGGCCUCACA